CUUCUCUUUCAAUGUCGAUACACCAUUCGGGUUUGGGGCAUGAUCAAAACUUGGCUUGCGCUCCACGAUAUCCAGCCCAACGAUUGGAUUGAUAUGGUUUCGGUUAAGGAUUGGUGGAGUCAGAAUGCCACUAAGCAAACUCCAUCGAGAAGGCCACUUGUCUCCCUGAUGAUGCUUAUCUCCUGGGAAAUAUGAAAGGAGCGAAACGCUAGAGUUUUCGGCAACACGGCCGUUCCAGUGGGAGUGUUGGUCGUCAAGAUUAAAGAGGAAUGCUCGCUUUGGAGCCUUGCGGGAGCAAAACAUUUGUGUAACAUUAUGUCGCGAGAGUGA
RNAcentral lists this ribosomal RNA (330 nucleotides) under Triticum aestivum (bread wheat). RNAcentral's name for it is "partial small subunit ribosomal RNA". Lineage: Eukaryota; Viridiplantae; Streptophyta; Magnoliopsida; Poales; Poaceae. The record is from RNAcentral.